ACCAAACCCGCCGACCCGCCGACUCAGCCCGGCGGCUUGGUGUCGGCGACUUUGCUUCAAGAAUCAUGUCGGCGACUCGUACCCGCGCGUGCAAGUCGGCGGCAUGGCCGGCGACUUGCGUACGCGCACGCUCAGUUGCCCGCCGACACUCCAGCGAUAGUGACUUGCUUGUGUUUUUUUUUGCGAUUUUCUGCAAUAAUGGAAUGGGACGAAGAAACCACUCUAAAGUUAAUAAAUUUGUAUCAUAUAAAGGAAUUAUUAUGGAAUCCAAAACACUUGGAUCACAAAUGUAGACCUAAACGUUUUGAUGCACUAAAUGAGAUGGCAAACGAAUUAAAUACAAAUGUCACAGAAAUAGAACGGAAGAUAAAAAAUUUGACGAGCCAAUAUUAUAGAGAAAGAAAAAAAACGAUUGAAUCAAAAAAGUCUGGAACCAGCGCAGAUUUUGUUCAUGAGAGCAAGUGGUUUGCCUUUAAAUCUUUGAAUUUCUUGCUCAAUAAAAAUAAACCUACUGGAACAAUCGAUACGGAGAUAACAGCAACUGACAAUAAUGCCCAACAUGCGGACAAUGAUGCUCAACAUGGGGAAAACGAUUCACCUCAAACGUCAAACAUCAUUCCCCAAGCGAAUAAACGUUAUAAACCUAAUCCAAGUAAUGAGAUGGUGUCGGAAGCAUUAAAUUUAAUGAGAACAGUCAGUCAACGGACAAAUCAAAAAAUAAAAGAUGAGGACGAUUUGUUUGGCGAAUAUAUUGCGACACAACUUAGAAAAUUUGAUAAAACAACAAAGGCAAUAAUAAAACAUCGGAUUAACAAUAUCUUUUUUGAAACCGAAACUGGAUAUCGUUCAGACAUGUUCGAAGCUUCGCCAAGACCUUCUACUUCUCAUAGUCAUCCAGGAUAUUAUACAAUGGAUCAAUGUGAUGUAAAUUCCUACUACUCAUCAUCCAACUCUGCCGUAACAAACCCUGUUUCACCGCCUCUUGGUGAACCUUCAACAUCUUCAAUUGAACCUUCGUUACGUGUGUCGAUUCAAGAGAGUGGUGAUAUUGAGAACAUAUUAUCAUCUAUUGAGUCAGAUAAAUAGGUUUAUUCCACAAAUCCCCACCGUAUGCACUCUGAGAAUAACCCUAUCACCUGAUGCGAGAUAACGUUAUGUAGGCACAAGUAUUUCGUCUUAAUGUUGUUGUCAUAGAAUCGUCAUAGUAUACUCAAAAUGCAUAAAAACAUCAGUGGGGAUUUCGCGGUGGGGAUUUAUAGAAUAACUCGGUAAAUAAAACCACUUAUAAAUGAACAAAAACAAGUGAUUUACGAAGUUUUUAAUACAAAUUAUAAUAAAAAUACAAGUACUAAUACAAGUAUGAGUUUCAUUAAAACGUACGAGUUAGUCAUUGAUCAUUCUGCCAUGGUAAUCUCCCGACAUCGGAAAGAAAAUAUUGAACCAAUUCUGUCCUUAUAACCUCAGGAGAUUGUGUCCUUGUAACCUCAAGGGAAUGUGUAUUGUCUUGUCUAGGCAAGUCAGCAAACAAAUUAUUUUCACGUGGUUCCCUGCGCCAAUCUCCUGGAUUGAUUUCUCCCCUACUAUUUUCAGUAUCAUAUUCAUUUUGUUGUAUUAUACCAUGUCGUUUUACAUAAUUGAACAAAUGAAUACAUGCCAAUGUUACAAUAGUAACUUUUUGUGGAUUUAGCUGGAUGGGUUUGUUAAAUAUCUUAAAUUGUUUUGUUAACUGUCCAAAUACGUUUUCAACUACUCUUCGACCUCGACACAUGCGAUAGUUGUACACUCUCUUGGGAGACCCUUUCGCAUGAUUACCAUCAUAAGGUUUUAAAAUAUUGGUUUGUAAAGGAAACGCAU
Molecule: long non-coding RNA, 1854 nt
Filed under: Pectinophora gossypiella (pink bollworm)
Lineage: Eukaryota; Metazoa; Arthropoda; Insecta; Lepidoptera; Gelechiidae
Description: uncharacterized LOC126375613
Source: RNAcentral